CCUACGGGUGGCAGCAGUGGGGGAUAUUGGACAAUGGGCGGAACCCUGAUCCAGCGACGCCGCGUGAGUGAAGAAGUCUUUCGGUUUGUAAAGCUCUGUCAGCAGGGAAGAAUGAAAUGACGGAACCUGACCAAGAAGCCCGGGUUAAUUCCGGGCCAGCAGCGGCGGUAAACGGUAGGGGGCAAGCGUUUUCCGGAUUAAUUGGGUGUAAAGGGAGCGUAGACGGUUAAGUAAGUCGGGAGUGAAAGGCCGGGGCCCAACCCCGGGACUGCUUUGGAAACUUUUGAACUUGAGUCCAGGGGAGGUAAGCGGAAUUCCUAGUGUAGCGGUGAAAUGCGUAGAUAUUAGGAGGAACACCAGUGGCGAAGGCGGCUUACUGGACAGUAACUGACGGUGAGGCUCGAAAGCGUGGGGAGCAAACAGGAUUAGAUACCCUUGUAGUC
RNAcentral lists this ribosomal RNA (443 nucleotides) under uncultured bacterium. RNAcentral describes it as "partial 16S ribosomal RNA". It matches the Rfam family "Bacterial small subunit ribosomal RNA", at positions 338 to 795 of the family's 1533-position model. The record is from RNAcentral.